GGAGGAAAGUAGGGGAUCGCAAGACCUUGCGCUAAAGGAGCGGCCGAUGUCUGAUUAGCUAGUUGGUGGGGUAAAGGCUUACCAAGGCAACGAUCAGUAGUUGGUCUGAGAGGACGACCAACCACACUGGGACUGAGACACGGCCCAGACUCUACGGGAGGCAGCAGUGGGGAAUUUUGGACAAUGGGCGAAAGCCUGAUCCAGCCAUGCCGCGUGAGUGAAGAAGGCUUCGGGUUGUAAAGCUCUUUUAGUCAGAAAGAAAGAAUCAUGAUGAAUAAUUAUGAUUUAUGACGGUACUGACAGAAAAAGCACCGGCUAACUACGUGCCAGCAGCCGCGGUAAUACGUAGGGUGCGAGCGUUAAUCGGAAUUACUGGGCGUAAAGGGUGCGCAGGCGGUUUUGUAAGUCAGAUGUGAAAGCCCCGGGCUUAACCUGGGAAUUGCGUUUGAAACUACAAGGCUAGAGUGCAGCAGAGGGGAGUGGAAUUCCAUGUGUAGCAGUGAAAUGCGUAGAGAUGUGGAAGAACACCGAUGGCGAAGGCAGCUCCCUGGGUUGACACUGACGCUCAUGCACGAAA
Molecule: ribosomal RNA, 577 nt
Filed under: uncultured ammonia-oxidizing bacterium
Lineage: Bacteria
Description: bacterial SSU rRNA
Rfam family: Bacterial small subunit ribosomal RNA
Source: RNAcentral